GGGGAUGACAGGCAUAGACAUGUGGUCUCCUUCUUUCCGCGCAUUGUGGAACUCCAGUAAUUCCUUAAACUGCUGGAACAAUUAAGUGCAAAAACCUUAAUUUCAAAAGCUAAGUCUAUCGUCUCACCAUAUUUUGGUGAACGCGGGCUCGCUUUCGCUUACGCUUCGGCGUAAGUGACAUCUAUUUCCCCGACGUCCGAUAGGGAUACAUAGGUGUUAUAGAUUCGGAAUCGAGCGUGCCGCAGGUAGUCGUAGACUAUCUCUUUCUCGGCUCACGCUUUAACUUUAGAGAAUCGGCAUCAAGACGCUUCUGUUACCCUUUUAGUCUUGAUGUUUAAAACCCGCAAGGGUAAAGAGUAACUACGCAAUGUAGAACCGGAAAAAAGAAUCAUGUGCACGCGCGUUCGAUUCGCGCCAUCUCCAUUC
RNAcentral lists this transfer-messenger RNA (426 nucleotides) under Candidatus Tayloriibacteriota bacterium. It matches the Rfam family "transfer-messenger RNA". From Rfam's summary of the family: Bacterial tmRNA, also known as 10Sa RNA or SsrA, is named for its dual tRNA and mRNA-like properties. Its role is to liberate the mRNA from a stalled ribosome. RNAcentral also lists the same sequence under 1 other name. Lineage: Bacteria; Candidatus Tayloriibacteriota. The record is from RNAcentral.